UUUUGGAUCAAAAUCAACAAUGCAAAUAUCUCUUAUUAGAAAAAGAUUCUGAAAAAGAGAUUAGAACACAUGAGGAAGAACUGCUAUUAAUUAGAAAAGGUGAAAAUCUGAUUAAACAGGGUAAUCAACUCAUCAAGCAGGGUGAGCGUAAAAUAAAAGAAGGGGAAUUACUGCUUCGUACUCAUGGAUCCAAUGUAAACAGUGUACCAUGUAGAGUACCUAAAUCAUCUGCAGUCAAUACAUCUUGUACACCAAAACCUAGAUA
Long non-coding RNA from Hydra vulgaris (swiftwater hydra), 265 nucleotides. RefSeq lists it as uncharacterized. Lineage: Eukaryota; Metazoa; Cnidaria; Hydrozoa; Anthoathecata; Hydridae. The record is from RefSeq and is a predicted model, not a curated record.